CUAAAAUCGGACACUCAAACAGGCGAACACCGCUGAGACCUCCAUACCUUCGGGAAAACCUCGCCAAAACUACCGAACGACCAGGCGUUCGGUAGAAAGAAUCAGCAACAGAUGGGGAUUUCAGCGAACCCAGGAUGGCAUACGGAUGGCCGGCCGUUCGGGAGUUUUUACCCACGAUCUUAGACCGACUGCAGGGCCAGCAUUCAUGGAACUGUUUUCGGCUACUGUGC
Non-coding RNA from Pelobates cultripes (western spadefoot toad), 230 nucleotides. The record is from the annotation of a GenBank genome assembly. Lineage: Eukaryota; Metazoa; Chordata; Amphibia; Anura; Pelobatidae.